ACAAAUUACCAGCAAGAGUUGUAGCUGGCCUUUUGGGGCAACAUGCACGCCCGAGCCUUUAAUCCACAUACACCUGUGAAGCCAAUGUAAGGGCCUGUAAAAGGGUCCCCUAUGUCUCCAUAGAUACAUGUUUAAUGGAAUGUAAAUGCAAAUCCUUGCCUGAAAAAAGUGUUGUA
Molecule: unclassified non-coding RNA, 176 nt
Filed under: uncultured Atheliaceae
Lineage: Eukaryota; Fungi; Basidiomycota; Agaricomycetes; Atheliales; Atheliaceae
Description: sequence contains ITS1
Source: RNAcentral